Molecule: ribosomal RNA, 460 nt
Filed under: uncultured bacterium
Lineage: Bacteria
Description: partial 16S ribosomal RNA
Rfam family: Bacterial small subunit ribosomal RNA
Source: RNAcentral
CCUACGGGAGGCAGCAGUGAGGAAUAUUGGUCAAUGGACGAGAGUCUGAACCAGCCAUGCAGCGUGAAGGAUGACGGCUCUAUGGGUUGUAAACUUCUUUUAUAAGAGAAUAAAACGAGGCACGUGUGCCUUUUUGCAUGUACUUUAUGAAUAAGGAUCGGCUAACUCCGUGCCAGCAGCCGCGGUAAUACGGAGGAUCCGAGCGUUAUCCGGAUUUAUUGGGUUUAAAGGGUGCGUAGAUGGUUUGUUAAGUCAGUGGUGAAAGUUUGCGGCUCAACCGUGAAAUUGCAAGUGAUACUGGAAGUCUUGAGAGUAGUUGCGGUAGGCGGAAUGUAUGGUGUAGCGGUGAAAUGCUUAGAGAUCACGCAGAACACCGAUUGCGAAGGCAGCUUACCAAACUGUGACUGACAUUGAUGCACGAAAGUGUGGGGAGCAAACAGGAUUAGAUACCCGAGUAGUC